GAUGAACGCUGGCGGCGUGCCUAAUACAUGCAAGUCGAGCGAACGGACGAGAAGCUUGCUUCUCUGAUGUUAGCGGCGGACGGGUGAGUAACACGUGGAUAACCUACUUAUAAGACUGGGAUAACUUCGGGAAACCGGAGCUAAUACCGGAUGAUAUUUUGAACCGCAUGGGUCAAAAGUGAAAGACGGUCUUGCUGUCACUUAUAGAUGGAUCCGCGCUGCAUUAGCUAGUUGGUAAGGUAACGGCUUACCAAGGCAACGAUGCAUAGCCGACCUGAGAGCGGGAUCGCCCACACUGGAGCUGAGACGCGGUCCAGACUCCUACGGGAGGCAGCAGUAGGGAAUCUUCCGCAAUGGGCGAAAGCCUGACGGAGCAACGCCACGUGAGUGAUGAAGGUCUUCGGAUCGUGAAACUCUGUUAUUAGGGAAGAACAUAUGUGUAAGUAACUGUGCACAUCUUGACGGUACCUAAUCAGAAAGCCACGGCUAACUACGUG
This 497-nucleotide ribosomal RNA is filed under the name uncultured bacterium. RNAcentral describes it as "partial 16S ribosomal RNA". It matches the Rfam family "Bacterial small subunit ribosomal RNA", at positions 28 to 507 of the family's 1533-position model. The record is from RNAcentral.